CAAUAGCGUAUAUUAAAGUUGUUGCGGUUAAAAAGCUCGUAGUUGGAUUUCUGUUGAGGUCGGCCGGUGUGCAUUACGUGUAUUAUCAGGUUUGGUCUUGGCAUCCUCUGAGGCACGAGGGACUUUAUUGGCUCUCGAGUUUUCAGACUUUUACUUUGAGGAAAUUAGAGUGUUCACGGCAAGCAAGCGCUUUGAAUACAUUAGCAUGGAAUAAUAAUAUAGGACCUUCGUUCUAUUUUGUUGGUUUCUUAGAACUUGGUAAUGAUUAAUAGGGACAAUUGGGGCGAUUCGUAUUAACGCGUCAGAGGUGGAAAUUACUUAGAUUGCGUUACGGCGAACUACUGCGAAGCAUUUGUCCAAAGAUGUUUUCUAUUGAUCAAGAACGAAAGUAUGGGGAUCAAAGACGAUCAGAUACCGU
This 418-nucleotide ribosomal RNA is filed under the name uncultured eukaryote. RNAcentral describes it as "bacterial SSU rRNA". It matches the Rfam family "Eukaryotic small subunit ribosomal RNA", at positions 592 to 1018 of the family's 1831-position model. The record is from RNAcentral.